AGACUUUGAAGGCAGCCUUUGACCUUGGAAAGUACUGGAGAGACCAGUGUCAAGGCUCAGCAUUUGGCCUGUGAUGGCAGAAAUAAAACUACCAGGAUCCACCAGGCCACCCAGCCCGGGUGUGGAGACUAGACGCACAGCAACCUAAGGCUGAUUUAGGAGAAGCUCAGAGUGCGGGUUCAACAGCACCAAGCCCAAGCGUGGCAAAAAUGUGGCUGAGGUUUUCUUGAGCUUAGCACGUGUUGGGAUUUUCGGAUCAUCAAAGUGUGGCUGCUACGGGGUUUCACUGAACGCUGGAAAGACCAGUGAGUGAGAGAUCAUUUUCCUGAAUAGGUCCUCAUUUUAGCUGAAGCUCUUUCAUUUUGGAAAAGAGAUGCCUGAUGCAACCACAACAUACCAAGGCAGGGAGGAAAAGAGUAUGUUGAAUUCUCGAACAGGAAAGAAGUCAUUCCCACUGCCGUUUGUUGGAACUACAACAAGAAGCCAGACAGGAGUAAACACCUGUUGGUGACCUUUUUUCACUUGUAAACAAAAGGAUUGAUGAAUACACGUCUGAAACCCGAGAUGUUUGUGAGUUGAGAACUCCUGGAUGGAAAAUUUUACAAAUGCUGUCCCACCUCAGAUACAGAACGGGUCUCACGGCAGCCGCCCACCUAGAACGUGGAGCCACGGAUCUCACAUUCCUGGUCUCUCCUGCACGUCAGCGAGGUGGCAGGUCUCCGUGUGUACCACUUACUUGCUAACUGUGUGAGAGGAAGAGGCCUUUGCACAACGUGGAAGGAAAUGGCCGGAAACAAGGACACACGGGUUCCAGAGUUCAUGUAAAGUACAGAACGUUCAGGCAAGAGGGUGAAAGUGCGUGGGUGGGUUUUCAGUUCACAAACUAUCUUGCUCUAGAAGAGAAGAUAGACGCUCCUUGUUGGUCCAGGAAAGACACAAAGGUUUGACGUAGCAGGAAAUGAUCCCUUUAAAGAAAACCUUUAUCUGACUGAUCCCAGGCUGCAAAGUGAGAGUUUUCCAGGAAGAAGCCACCUGGGGGCUGUGGUCUGCAGCCGUAUUUUAAAGGCUGAAGUACAGUCUUUGACAAAACUCACUCAUUUUUUUCCCCUCAAAGAUCUUUUAGGGGGUUUAACAAAACUUUAAAUUUCACUGAAGACAGGAAAAUACAGGACAAACUAGAGCUGCCAAAUCUUUGGUCAAGAGAAAGGUUUUUAUUGUGACUUUGCUCUUCUCGGGCCUCUCCAACCCAACCAGAAAAAAACCCCAAGACACAGGGACAAUGAGGCCGCUGCUCUCUGAGCCCCGGGUGCUUCUUGCUUCCGAGGAUACGAGGUGCUGAAAGAUGCCGCCUCGACUCCAGAUGAUGCCUCUAGAAGCCGAGAGCCGUCCCGGCUGACGGCCAGCAAGGGCACUGGGGCCUCAGUCCCACAACCACAGGAACUGGAUUUUGCCAACAGCCUCGUAGCUUGGGGAGGGCCCUGAGCCCCAGGCAGGGGCGCAGCCUGGCCAACAGCUUUCUUCAGUUUUGUGAAACUCUGAGCAGAGGACCUGGCUCGGUUGGGCCUGGACUUCUGACCUGCAGAAACUGUGGAGAUAAUGAAAGAUUGCCAUUGGAAGUCACUAAAUUUGCGGCAAUUGUUUAUGAGCAAUGGGAAACUGAUACAGCCCUCAAAAAAAAGAGGUGAGAUUUCAAUCUUAUGUCACCAACUAAGAGUCAGUGGAAGGACAGGACCCAGAGGGCCAACUGUCACAAGCUAUCUCUAAGCAACAUCUAACGUCCUCAGGGUCCUCAACAGUGCGCCUUUGCUGCAGCACUGCCAAAGGUCACUGCCGCCCUCCGGACAUGCACAUCAGCGCAACAGAUGCUCACAGCUCUCUCGCAAGCUGCCUCGCCCUUAUGAUGAACCAGGGAGCACCUGUUUCCCUCACUAGGUUAUGACCACCGUGCAAAGAAUAAUCAACUAAAAUUCUAAUGUUACUGGGUCUCAUACCGCAGCUCACAGUGCAGCAGAGACAGAGAAGAAGGAAUUUCUUUAUCUUUUGUUUAACUGAACUUGCUCUCCACCCAAGUCCCCACCCACGGCUAAGUGGGAGAAAACUGCCUGUCCCAUCUGACUUAAAGCUGCAUAGUGAGAGUCCCUUGGCUGUCCUAAGCCACUGUGGGGUGCGGCUGCUCAGCGGCUCAGCUCGCCUGGCCGUCCGCCUCGCUGCAGCACGGCUAAGAUGCUGGGAUCUCAUCCAGGUGUGGACGGGGGAAAGGCUGCGGCUUGCUCGCUCCCAGUUGUGUUGAUGGGUCACCAAUGGACCGCUGGCCUCACGGGGGUGCAUGGGUGCACUGGCAGGGGUCUGCACAUCUCCAGUGGGCACUGCUUGUCCAGGCAGCCCUGUUGUCCUUCCAGGCUGGAAUCUUCAGCUGGCAAACUCUGGCUCCAGGGUGUUCUGGAAAAGGACUUGCCCUGCGUUUCCUGCUCCCCAUCUCUGCUCCUCUUCGAGUGAGCUGCAGACAGACCCUGGGUUUCUGCUGUUUCCCUCAGCUCCGGGCCUGGCCAUGUGCUGCAGCCUUCACCGUGGGGUCCCCUUGCUUUGUCACAGCAGGCCUGUGGCAGACCCUUGGGCUCUCAGAGCGGCAUCCUGCAGGCGAGAAAAAUGGGGGUUCCGACUGUCAGCUGGACCUACCCUGUCUGCUCACACCCGCCCACUCUCUUAAGGACCAAGAGGACCACGCGCUGGCCUGGCCCUUCUGUUCCGCCACCUUCUCCCUAAGAUCCAAGUCGGCACGUUGGGCAGGCCCCCCCGAAGUGAUCCCCUCACUUCAUCUAAAAUAUGUACAGUCAAUCCUCACUAUCAGCAGAUUUUGUAUCUGCGAAUUUGCUUACUCACUGAAAUUUAUUUUAAUCCCCAAAUCAGCACUUCUGCACUUUCACGGCCCUUUGUGGAUGCGUGCAGAGUGGCGGCAAAUUUGAGUUGUGCACGUUCCCAGUUGAGGACAUACGAGGUGACACCCUACCUUUCAUUUCAGUGCUCACACGUAAACAAGUGUUCUCAUGGUCUACUCAGUGCGUGUUUUCCAUAGCUGUGUGCCUGGUGUUGGUGAUUUUGCUGUGUAUAGUGGCCCCAGGUGACGUGCUGGACGGCUGUGUUGUGUUCCUAAGAGCAGGAGGCCUGCGGAUGCCUUACAGAGAAAACCCGUGUGACAUGGACUGAAGGUCUGUGUCCUCCAGAAAUCACGAGUGGACGCCCUCACCUCCGGGGCGGCUGAAUUUGGAGAUGGGGCACCUGAGGACAGGCCAGGUCCAGUGGAUCAGGGUGGGGUCCUGACUUGUCUUGUAAGAAGAGACGAGAGCACUCUCUCUGGCCUCAGAGGAAAGGCUAUGAGAGGACGCAGAGGCCAUAUAAAAGCAGAAGAAAGCGCUCACUGGAAACCUACGGUGACCUUGGUCUUGGACUCUCUAGCCUCCAGAACUGUGAGAAAUAAAUUUCUGUUGUUUAAGCCUCGCAGCAUGUAGUAACUCGUGGCAGCCGCAGCCGACUUCCUUCAGGCCGGCUCUGUGAGGCCUUGGCUGUGAGUUCUAUGCCAGCGAAUCAACAGGGUCUAUUAAAGAAAACAGAUACGCGCAUAAAGCAGGGUUAUGCUCUCAUUCGCUAAUGAAUUAAAAACUUCACCUCCGUGAAAGAUACUGUCAAGAGAAUGAGAAGACAAGACACAGACUGGGAGAAAAUAUUUGCAAAGGGCACAUCUGAUAAAGGACUAUUAUCCAAAAUAUACAAAGCACUCUUAAAACUCAACAAUAAGAAAAUGAACAACCUGAUUACAAAAUGGGCAAAAGAUCUGAAUAGAUACCUCAUCAAAGAAGAUAUACAGAUGGCAAAUAAGCAUAUGAAAAGAUGCUCCACAUGGUUUGUCAUCAGGGAAAUGCAAAUUAAAACAAUGGGAUACCACUACAAACCUGUUAGAAUGGCCCAAAUCCAAAACAGUGACAACACCCAGUGCUGGCGAGGAUGUGGGGCAAUGGGAACUCUCCCUCGUGGCUGGUGCGGAUGCAAACGGUGCAGACACCUUGGAAGACAGUUUAACAGUUUCCUACAAAACGAAACCCACUCUUCACACAUGAUCCAGCAGUCACCCUCCCGGGGAUUCACUCAAAGGCCUUGAAAACUCAUAUCUACACAAGCAUCUGCGUGUGGAUGCCUACAGCAGCUUUAUUCAUUAUUGCCCAACUUAGAAGCACCCGCACGUCCUUCAGUAGGUGAGUAGAGAGAUAAGCUGUGUGUAUCAGUCUGCUCCAGCUGCUAUAACAAAAUAGCACAGACUGUGUGGCUUAAUAGAAAUUUACUUUUUAACUAUUCUGCAGGCUGGAAAUCCAAGAUCAAAGUGUUGGAAAACUCAGUUACUGGUGAGAGAGUUCUUCCUGGCUUAUGAACUAUCACCUUCUCUUUCUGUCCUUACUUGGCCUGUGUCUGUGCAACCCUGUCUUUUCCUCUUAGAAGGACACCAGUCCUAUGGGAUCAGGGCCCCAUUUAUGACCUCAUUUAACCUUAAUUACCUCUGUAGAGGCCUCAUCUCCAAAUACAGUCAUAUUGGGGGCUAGGAGUUCAACAUAUGUAUUUGGUGGGGGCACAAUUCAGAUCAUAGCACUGAGGUACAUCCAGACAAUUGAAUAAUUUUCAAUGUUAAAAAGAAAUGAGCUGUCAAGCCAUGAAAAGACUUGGGGAGACCUUAAAUACAUAUCUCUAAAUGAAAGGAGCCCAUCUGAGGAGGCCACAUAGUGUAUGACACCAACUGUGUGACAUCCCGGAAAAGGCAAAUUUCUGGAGACGGUGAGAGGUCAGCGUGCGGGGCUGGGGGUGUGUGUAUGGAGCACAGAGGGUUGUCAGACCGUGAGAAUCCUCUUGGAUACGACCAGGGAGGCUACAUGCCAUUGUUUGUCCAGACCCACAGCACAUACAGCACCAGGAGUGAAGCUGGUGUGAACUGUGCACUCAGGGGGAGGACGACGUGUGAGCACAGGUCAUCGAUUGUAGCAAAGGUACCGUCUCGGGGACACUGAUAAUGGGGGAGGCCGUGUCCCUGGGAGGGCAGGCGGCUUAAGGGAGCGCACUGUACUUUCCCCUUCAACUUUACUGUGAACCUAAAACUGCUCUAAAAAAUAAAAUCUAUUUAAAAGAAAAAAAAAAUGUGACCAGCGGCUCACAAGCACUGACCCUGUAUUUCUCCCAGGACAAUGGUCCAGGAUUUGCUAGGUCAGUGUUUGCAGUGAUUUUAUAGAACAGACUCCAGUGAACCGGGAGAGUGGACGGGAUGUGGUCCCAUUCUGGGCCAAAAGCCAGGACGGGGCAGAGGGGACACUCGUCGGCCCUCAGCCUCCUGCACUGCACUUCUCCUUUCCUCUCCUUCCCCCUUCUCUGGGGUCAGAAGGAGACAGGCCCUCCCCCGUGCACACCCUCCUUCGCUGACCCAUGUCCUAUUCCUGAAGGACCUCGUGUGAAGCUCUGGGAUCUGCUGGCCCAGGCAGGCUGACUGCUAAGACCCAGGACAACGUCCUCUCGGGUGUCAGCUGAGUUCAUAAAGUUGUGCUGGGCAUCAAAGUCCUACAGUGGGGUGCCGGGAGACGAUGCUUGUCUUCUCUCUGGAUUCCUUCCUAGGGUCUCCCUGGUCUCCUUCCCUCUCCCCUGCCUUCCUCACCUCUAGAAACUCCAGGCCAACGAGGAAAAUGGACAUGCUGGCAAGGCAGAAAGAGCAAAGUCCAGUGAUCACCUGUAACAGGUGUCCUCAUUUGGUAGACCCUGCACUCUGCCUGUGCGCAGGGCUCGGUGACGGACUGCACCCGGGUCAGAAGCUGUCAAGUUAGAACCAGGUGCGGUUGCCACACCCCAGAGGUCAGGCGUUGAUCGUGUCUUUUCCCUUCCUUCUUCCUCCUUCAGUUGACACACCUCAGUGACCCUGUAACCAAUAUCCCAUCAAGGAUUAACCCCCACACAUGCAAUCCAUCCCGGCCGCACCUUCUCUAUCCUAUUCUGGAAGACUGCCCGCUCCCACGAGCUACCAGCUUUCCAGAAACCACGCGGCUUUCAUCAGAUACCCUCACGUCCUUUCCUCUUGUCAGUGGCACUUGGAAAAGUGCCCCUAAGAACCUGAAAUGAGACGGCACCCUGCACAUUAAAUAAAGAAACCAGCACACAGAGCCUCACAGCCACAGAGUGCAACCUUACUGCAGGACCAUUGCUCAACUCCAGGGAAAGAAGUCACCCAGAUAAAGAAAAAAGGGGUGUCAACCAGAAAAGGAAUUAAUCAGCCGUGAACACAGAGGGAAAGGAGACUCAAAAGGCAUGUGCCAGAGAAGGAGGGACUCUGUCAGUGACUGCGUGCUGGGUCUGUCUGGCAAGUCCAUCUAUAACAUGGAAGUGGAUCCACCAGGCCAUUGGAGCCUAAUGCCACUGUGCCCAACCACCUGGGUUGUCACCCAAGCUUACUGAGCAACUUGGCAAUUACGUAGCUCGUCUAAAGGAAAGAGUGGGCUGCUGUGAUUGUGAAAUGCUAAUUAGCUUUCUAACUUUGUAUAUUGUCAUCUUCCGGGCCUUCUUUGAAUGAGUCAGCAUCUCAAGUCUGGCCAACCCUGGGACACUUACCAGAACGUUUCUGUACCUACAAGAUUUGAACCAGAUUUGGGGAAGUGGUGUGGGCGCCCUGCCUGAGAUCUUUGUCCUUGUGCAGGGAGCAGCCUGACUGCUUUCCUCCCUGAGCAUCACAGCAGAGGAGCAGCAAGUGUGAGCCACAGGUAUUUUAAAAGGAUUUGGUUCGGAAAGUGAUUCUGACCCCAUAACCAACCAUCAGUCCUGUGGGGUUCUUCAUUUGUUGUAUGACCCACGUCAGCCUUGCUCUUGAUGAUGAGGCUCUGGCUGUGACUUCCAACCGUGCCCUAGAGACUCCAGCUGGCCUGUUUCUUCCCGUUCCACUGGAAGUCAGGACCCUAUUGCUUGGAUUUUCUUCUAUGAUCUAGAUGAGGAUCCAGUCACACGAAACCUGUGGAAAUCAUUGGGAAAGGCUAAAUGUUAGCCAGCUAUCAAUUGGUUGUAAGCCCUUGUAUCUUUAUAAACAAGAAGGGGCCAUCUUGAGAAUAUUAUAUGUCUGUUCCUAGGUAGGAAACUUAACAAUGUCUGGACCAUUUUAAUAAUUGGUGUUUGAUGUCCUCAAACACCUGCUUACAUGGGCCAACAUUAGCUUCUGGUUAGUAAGAAGUUUCACCUUAUCAGCCUCUUAGUCGCCUAAGUGAGGAGCUGGUGCACGGAGUAACCUCUUUUUGUUCUGGGCUGGUUCUUUGCUCUUGCUGCCAGAAUCCCUAUUUCAAAUUUCGAGGAGGUGCAGGCGGUCCACCAGUUCUCAGCUCCCAUGAGGGAGGUUAGCGUGGGAUUCCUUGCCCCCUCCACCCACCCGACUCCCAUCGGUCACCCCAGCACUAAGUCAGAGCUCACUGUCAGGUAACUUAGAGGACCCUUGUUUGAAAGCAGUGGUGUUAUCAAUGCGUAUCUUAUUUUUAGGAAAAUUUUUAACAUCUUUGGGGGAAAAGUGGCUGACAAUAAUCCCUUUAUAGUAAGAUCACAGUUGCUGCCACCUGCAAUGCCAUUAAUGUUUAGUCUGAUAAUUUUCCAGGGCAGAAAAACCCUCCUGUAAUGUACCUAAUGUUCUAUGCAGAGAGGGGAAUCUUCCCUGACCUAUGGAAUACGAUAGUGACUUAUUCUUAUUGUGCUUAGCUGUGAAAGUUACUUCUCUAAGCUCGAUUGGAAUGUAUGUUUAUGAGAAAUGGUACCCAUUUAAGCAGAUUAUAAAACAAUACUAAUUUUAUCAUUUCAAAUCUAGGGUUCUACGUGAGAUGUCUUCUAAAGAUUAAGUAAUUUUAUGCUUGAUUUAUUUAAAAAGUACAACUUUAUAAAGGCAACACAAGGAAUUUUUAGAAGAUGUAAAUAUUUUCAAAACUCAUGAUUUUCCUCCAAUACGUGGUUUUGACAAAUGAAACAACUUACAUGUUUUCCAAGCUGAGGAGUUGGCCCAUAGUAUAAGGGAGCAAACAGCACAAGAUAUUUUCUUUGACAGGUAAAUUUAAAAAUUUUAUUUCUGACUUUUGGUUCAGCUCAGAACUUAUUUUUUUUGAGGAAGAUUAGCCCUCAGCUAACAUCUGCUGCUAGUCCUCCUCUUUUUGGUAAGGAAGACUGGCCCUGAGCUAACAUCCGUGCCCAUCUUCCUCUACUUUAUACGUGGGACACCUACCACAGCACGGCUUGCCAAGCUGUACCAUGUCCACACCAGGGAUCCCAACCAACAAACCCCGGGCCACAGAAGUGGAACUUGGGAACUUAACCACUGUGCCACCGGGCUGGCCCCUCAGCUCAGUACUUGAUUAGCAUCUUUUGGCCAGCGUUUCUGGGAGCAAAAUAAAUUCUGC
Equus caballus (horse) is the source of this 8438-nucleotide long non-coding RNA. Lineage: Eukaryota; Metazoa; Chordata; Mammalia; Perissodactyla; Equidae. The record is from Ensembl.